UAAACAUGUAGUUAGCACGUCUUUCACAUUUAAGGUCUCCAAAAAUGGAAGUUUAAAAAAUAGAAUGACGGAAAGAGGUAAGAUUCAGUGAAAAACAGAAGGUUUAAUUUAAAUGGAAUGAAGAAUUUCAGAAGUGUAACUAAAGAUGGCAGUAAGUAUACAGUAGUUUAGGAAUUUGUAAAAGUAUAGCUAAACAUGUUGAAAC
Molecule: long non-coding RNA, 205 nt
Filed under: Nicotiana benthamiana
Lineage: Eukaryota; Viridiplantae; Streptophyta; Magnoliopsida; Solanales; Solanaceae
Description: long non-coding RNA (NBEN_LNC035823)
Source: RNAcentral